AACGAACGCUGGCGGCGUGCCUAACACAUGCAAGUCGUGCGAGAAAGUUUCCUUCGGGAAGCGAGUAAAGCGGCGCACGGGUGAGUAACACGUAGGUAACCUACCUUUCAGUCCGGAAUAACCAGCUGAAAAGCUGGCUAAUGCCGGGUAAGACCACGACCUCUACGGGGGUCGCGGCCAAAGGCGGCCUCUUCAUGAAAGCUGAUGCUGAGAGAUGGGCCUGCGCACCAUUAGCUAGUUGGUGAGGUAAUAGCUCACCAAGGCUUUGAUGGUUAGCUGGUCUGAGAGGAUGACCAGCCACACUGGGACUGAGACACGGCCCAGACUCCUACGGGAGGCAG
Molecule: ribosomal RNA, 341 nt
Filed under: uncultured bacterium
Lineage: Bacteria
Description: bacterial SSU rRNA
Rfam family: Bacterial small subunit ribosomal RNA
Source: RNAcentral